ACCCUGGCAUCAUUUCACCAAGUAAAGUCCUUUUUCAUUCUCCGCUUGCAAGCUGAAACAACAUUCUGCAGCAUUCAUGCAUGUCCUUGCCCCUUGUUUUCUGCCAACAGAAACCACCACCACAACUCCGACCACCACCAGCACCACCCAUGAACCUACAACCGCUUCAGAUCAUGUGUCGCUUGCACCCUGGGCCCUUUCCCUGAUUGUUCUGGGCUGUAUUGGUGCAGGCAUGGCGAUCGUUGGAACAGCUUUAACAGUCUGCUACUGUCUGAAAAUGAGAAGAUCUCAACAGCAGAACACAUGUGGGUCAGGAGGAAGCUAUGUUCCACAUGCUAUGCCGUGCGGGAAAUUUUGAGAAGCCACGCAAUGGAGAUGGUAUAAUCAGAUGGGAAUGUGCCAAGUAACCGACCUGCUCGGUUGCUGCUGCUUGAAUUAACAUAUACUCAGGACAUUCUGCUUCCUACACUUUGCAGGGCUCAGAUUAUUAAUAUUUUGGAAUAAGGACCAUGCAUUUCCUGACAACCAGGCCAGGACAUCUUAACCCUUGCUGGACAUCUGCUGUGGUUCUGAGAGUCUGGUGGUUCCAGAGUCUGGUGUGCAGACUGCCUCUUAAGGUUCUAUUCUUAGCUAAUAUCCAUUCAUAUAACUUGACGUGGUGUGGAGAACCUUUGUCCCUCUGGAUCUUGUGGAACUACAACUCCCAUCAGCCCCAGCAAGCAUGGCCAAUGUCCAGGGAUGAUGGAAAUUGUAGCUCAGAAACAUCUGGAGGGACCACAACUUGUCUAACCCUUACUAUUGCCUUACUACUGUAUACCACUGGCCCUUGCCCAG
This is a non-coding RNA of Podarcis muralis (Common wall lizard), 834 nucleotides long. The record is from RefSeq and is a predicted model, not a curated record. Lineage: Eukaryota; Metazoa; Chordata; Lepidosauria; Squamata; Lacertidae.